This 800-nucleotide ribosomal RNA is filed under the name uncultured bacterium. RNAcentral describes it as "bacterial SSU rRNA". It matches the Rfam family "Bacterial small subunit ribosomal RNA", at positions 8 to 807 of the family's 1533-position model. The record is from RNAcentral.
AGAGUUUGAUCCUGGCUCAGGAUGAACGCUGGCGGCGUGCCUAACACAUGCAAGUCGAGCGAAGCGAUGUUAAGGAAGUUUUCGGAUGGAAUUAAGAUUGACUUAGCGGCGGACGGGUGAGUAACGCGUGGGUAACCUGCCUUAUACAGGGGGAUAACAGUUAGAAAUGACUGCUAAUACCGCAUAAGCGCACGGGAACGCAUGUUUCUGUGUGAAAAACUGAGGUAGUAUAAGAUGGACCCGCGUCUGAUUAGCUGGUUGGUGGGGUAACGGCCUACCAAGGCGACGAUCAGUAGCCGGCCUGAGAGGGUGACCGGCCACAUUGGGACUGAGACACGGCCCAAACUCCUACGGGAGGCAGCAGUGGGGAAUAUUGCACAAUGGGGGAAACCCUGAUGCAGCGACGCCGCGUGAGUGAAGAAGUAUUUCGGUAUGUAAAGCUCUAUCAGCAGGGAAGAAGCAAGACGGUACCUGACUAAGAAGCCCCGGCUAACUACGUGCCAGCAGCCGCGGUAAUACGUAGGGGGCAAGCGUUAUCCGGAUUUACUGGGUGUAAAGGGAGCGUAGACGGUAUGGCAAGUCUGAAGUGAAAGCCCAGGGCUUAACCCUGGGACUGCUUUGGAAACUGUUAGACUAGAGUGCUGGAGAGGUAAGUGGAAUUCCUAGUGUAGCGGUGAAAUGCGUAGAUAUUAGGAGGAACACCAGUGGCGAAGGCGGCUUACUGGACAGUAACUGACGUUGAGGCUCGAAAGCGUGGGGAGCAAACAGGAUUAGAUACCCUGGUAGUCCACGCUGUAAAC